GACGAACGCUGGCGGCGUGCUUAACACAUGCAAGUCGAACGAUGAACCGGUUCUGGCCGGGGGUUCGUGGCGAACGGGCGAGUGACACGCGGGCAAUUCGCCCUGCACUCUGGGGUAAGCGCGGGCAACUGGGUGUAAUUCCGGAUACGACACUCCGCGGGAUAUUGGGGGGUGGUAAGAUCCGGCGGUGCAGGAUGAGCCCGCGGCCUAUUAGCUUGUUGGUGGGGUAAUGGCCUACCAAGGCGACGAUGGGUAGCUGGCCUGAGAGGGUGACCGGCCACACUGGGACUGAGACACGGCCCAGACUCCUACGGGAGGCAGCAGUGGGGAAUAUUGCACAAUGGGCGAAAGCCUGAUGCAGCGACGCCGCGUGAGGGAUGAAGGCCUUCGGGUUGUAAACCGCUUUCAGCAGGGAAGAAGCGAAAGUGACGGUACCUGCAGAAGAAGCACCGGCUAACUACGUG
RNAcentral lists this ribosomal RNA (464 nucleotides) under uncultured bacterium. RNAcentral describes it as "partial 16S ribosomal RNA". It matches the Rfam family "Bacterial small subunit ribosomal RNA", at positions 28 to 507 of the family's 1533-position model. The record is from RNAcentral.